GCUGGCGGCGUGCUUAACACAUGCAAGUCGAACGGGAAUUACUUUAUUGAAACUUCGGUCGAUUUAAUUUAAUUCUAGUGGCGGACGGGUGAGUAACGCGUGGGUAACCUGCCUUAUACAGGGGGAUAACAGUCAGAAAUGGCUGCUAAUACCGCAUAAGCGCACAGAGCUGCAUGGCUCGGUGUGAAAAACUCCGGUGGUAUAAGAUGGACCCGCGUUGGAUUAGCUUGUUGGUGGGGUAACGGCCCACCAAGGCGACGAUCCAUAGCCGGCCUGAGAGGGUGAACGGCCACAUUGGGACUGAGACACGGCCCAGACUCCUACGGGAGGCAGCAGUGGGGAAUAUUGCACAAUGGGGGAAACCCUGAUGCAGCGACGCCGCGUGAAGGAAGAAGUAUCUCGGUAUGUAAACUUCUAUCAGCAGGGAAGAUAGUGACGGUACCUGACUAAGAAGCCCCGGCUAACUACGUGCCAGCAGCCGCGGUAAUACGUAGGGGGCAAGCGUUAUCCGGAUUUACUGGGUGUAAAGGGAGCGUAGACGGUGUGGCAAGUCUGAUGUGAAAGGCAUGGGCUCAACCUGUGGACUGCAUUGGAAACUGUCAUACUUGAGUGCCGGAGGGGUAAGCGGAAUUCCUAGUGUAGCGGUGAAAUGCGUAGAUAUUAGGAGGAACACCAGUGGCGA
RNAcentral lists this ribosomal RNA (682 nucleotides) under uncultured Lachnospiraceae bacterium. RNAcentral's name for it is "bacterial SSU rRNA". It matches the Rfam family "Bacterial small subunit ribosomal RNA", at positions 35 to 718 of the family's 1533-position model. The record is from RNAcentral. Lineage: Bacteria; Bacillati; Bacillota; Clostridia; Lachnospirales; Lachnospiraceae.